Molecule: ribosomal RNA, 253 nt
Filed under: uncultured bacterium
Lineage: Bacteria
Description: partial 16S ribosomal RNA
Rfam family: Bacterial small subunit ribosomal RNA
Source: RNAcentral
UACAGAGGGUGCAAGCGUUAAUCGGAAUUACUGGGCGUAAAGCGUGCGUAGGUAGUUUGUUAAGUCAGGCGUGAAAUCCUGGGGCUCAACCUCAGAAUUGCGCUUGAUACUGACAGACUCGAGUGUGGUAGAGGAUAGUGGAAUUCCCGGUGUAGCGGUGAAAUGCGUAGAUAUCGGGAGGAACAUCAGUGGCGAAGGCGGCUAUCUGGACCAACACUGACACUGAGGUACGAAAGCGUGGGUAGCAAACAGG